Molecule: ribosomal RNA, 1285 nt
Filed under: uncultured bacterium
Lineage: Bacteria
Description: partial 16S ribosomal RNA
Rfam family: Bacterial small subunit ribosomal RNA
Source: RNAcentral
GAGCGAACGCUGGCGGCGUACUUAACACAUGCAAGUCGAACGGGGAUCAUCGGUGUAGCAAUACAUCGGCGGUCCUAGUGGCGCACGGGUGAGUAACACGUGGGUAACCUGUCCUAGAGUUCGGGAUACCCUCUCGAAAGGGAGGCUAAUACCGGAUACGUUCCUCGGGUUGCGAAAUCUGGGGAGGAAAGGUGGCGAAAGCUACCGCUCUUGGAGGGGCUCGCGGCCUAUCAGCUAGUUGGUGAGGUAAUGGCUCACCAAGGCUAUGACGGGUAGCUGGUCUGAGAGGACGACCAGCCACACGGGAACUGAGACACGGUCCCGACUCCUACGGGAGGCAGCAGUGGGGAAUUUUCCGCAAUGGGCGAAAGCCUGACGGAGUGACGCCGCGUGGGGGACGAAGGCCUUCGGGUCGUAAACCCCUGUCAGAGGGAAAGAAGGGUCGCCUGGCUAAUAUCCAGGUGACUUGACGGUACCUUCAGAGGAAGCCCCGGCCAACUCUGUGCCAGCAGCCGCGGUAAGACAGAGGGGGCAAGCGUUGCUCGGAAUCACUGGGCGUAAAGGGCGCGUAGGCGGGAUGGCAAGUCAGUCGUGAAAUCUCUCGGCUCAACCGAGAAACGUCGGCUGAUACUGCCGUUCUUGAGGGAUGCAGAGGAGACUGGAAUUCCCGGUGUAGCGGUGAAAUGUGUAGAGAUCGGGAGGAACACCGGUGGCGAAGGCGGGUCUCUGGGCAUCUCCUGACGCUCAGGAGCGAAAGCGUGGGGAGCGAUCCGGAUUAGAUACCCGGGUAGUCCACGCUGUAAACGAUGAGCACUAGGUGUCGGGGGUAUCGACCCCCUCGGUGCCGCAGCUAACGCGCUAAGUGCUCCGCCUGGGGACUACGGCCGCAAGGCUAAAACUCAAAGGAAUUGACGGGGGCCCGCACAAGCAGCGGAGCGUGUGGUUUAAUUCGACGCAACGCGAAGAACCUUACCUGGGCUUGACAUGCACGUGGUACGACCCUGAAAGGGGGAGGACCCGCAAGGGAGCGUGCACAGAUGCUGCAUGGCUGUCGUCAGCUCGUGCCGUGAGGUGUUGGGUUAAGUCCCGCAACGAGCGCAACCCUCGCUGCCAGUUACGAUGUCUGGCGGGACCGCCGGGUCCAACCCGGAGGAAGGUGGGGAUGACGUCAAGUCAGCACGGCUCUUACGUCCAGGGCUACACACACGCUACAAUGGCCGGUACAACGCGCGGCGAUGGGGCGACCCGGAGCGAAUCGCAGCAAAGCCGGUCUCAGUUGGGAUUG